AUUGAACGCUGGCGGCAUGCCUUACACAUGCAAGUCGAACGGCAGCAUGGGUGCUUGCACCUGAUGGCGAGUGGCGAACGGGUGAGUAAUGCAUCGGAACGUACCCGGAAGUGGGGGAUAACGUAGCGAAAGUUACGCUAAUACCGCAUAUUCUGUGAGCAGGAAAGAGGGGGAUCGCAAGACCUCUCGCUUUCGGAGCGGCCGAUGUCGGAUUAGCUAGCUGGCGGGGUAAAGGCCCACCAAGGCAACGAUCCGUAGCGGGUCUGAGAGGAUGAACCGCCACACUGGGACUGAGACACGGCCCAGACUCCUACGGGAGGCAGCAGUGGGGAAUUUUGGACAAGGGGGGCAACCCUGAUCCAGCCAUGCCGCGUGAGUGAAGAAGGCCUUCGGGUUGUAAAGCUCUUUCGGCUGGGAAGAAAUCGCAUCUCCUAAUACGGGGUGUGGAUGACGGUACCAGCAUAAGAAGCACCGGCUAACUACGUGCCAGCCGCCGCGGUAA
This 502-nucleotide ribosomal RNA is filed under the name uncultured bacterium. RNAcentral describes it as "partial 16S ribosomal RNA". It matches the Rfam family "Bacterial small subunit ribosomal RNA", at positions 29 to 523 of the family's 1533-position model. The record is from RNAcentral.